GACGAACGCUGGCGGCGGGCUUAACACAUGCAAGUCGAACGGAAAGGCCCUGCUUUUGUGGGGUGCUCGAGUGGCGAACGGGUGAGUAACACGUGAGUAACCUGCCCUUGACUUUGGGAUAACUUCAGGAAACUGGGGCUAAUACCGGAUAGGAGCUCCUGCUGCAUGGUGGGGGUUGGAAAGUUUCGGCGGUUGGGGAUGGACUCGCGGCUUAUCAGCUUGUGGGUGGGGUAGGGGCUUACCAAGGCUUUGACGGGUAGCCGGCCUGAGAGGGUGACCGGCCACAUUGGGACUGAGAUACGGCCCAGACUCCUCCGGGAGGCAGCAGUGGGGUAUAGUGCACUAUGGGCGGAAGCCUGAUGCAGCACCGCCGCGUGCGGUGUGACGGCCUUCGGUUUGUAAUCCGCUUUCGCCUUUGACGAAGCGUGAGUGACGGUAAUGGGUAAAGAAGCACCGGCUAACUACGUG
Molecule: ribosomal RNA, 468 nt
Filed under: uncultured bacterium
Lineage: Bacteria
Description: partial 16S ribosomal RNA
Rfam family: Bacterial small subunit ribosomal RNA
Source: RNAcentral